RNAcentral lists this ribosomal RNA (301 nucleotides) under uncultured bacterium. RNAcentral describes it as "partial 16S ribosomal RNA". It matches the Rfam family "Bacterial small subunit ribosomal RNA", at positions 509 to 809 of the family's 1533-position model. The record is from RNAcentral.
CAGUAGCCGCGGGAAUACAGAGGAUGCAAGCGUUAUCCGGAAUGAUUGGGCGUAAAGGGCUCGCAGGCGGUUUCUUAAGUCUGACGUGAAAGCCCCCGGCUCAACCGGGGAGGGUCAUUGGAAACUGGGAAACUUGAGUGCAGAAGAGGAGAGUGGAAUUCCACGUGUAGCGGUGAAAUGCGUAGAGAUGUGGAGGAACACCAGUGGCGAAGGCGACUCUCUGGUCUGUAACUGACGCUGAGAGCGAAAGCGUGGGGAGCGAACAGGAUUAGAGACCCAGUAGUCCCUGUCUCUUAUACAC